UACGUAGGGUGCGAGCGUUGUCCGGAAUUAUUGGGCGUAAAGGGCUCGUAGGCGGUCGGUUGCGUCAGGAGUGAAAACUCGGGGCUUAACCCCGAGCCUGCUUCUGAUACGGGCAGACUAGAGGUAUGCAGGGGAGAACGGAAUUCCUGGUGUAGCGGUGAAAUGCGCAGAUAUCAGGAGGAACACCGGUGGCGAAGGCGGUUCUCUGGGCAUUACCUGACGCUGAGGAGCGAAAGUGUGGGGAGCGAACAGG
Molecule: ribosomal RNA, 253 nt
Filed under: uncultured bacterium
Lineage: Bacteria
Description: partial 16S ribosomal RNA
Rfam family: Bacterial small subunit ribosomal RNA
Source: RNAcentral